CUCUUUCUCAGGCUGUGAUGGGAACGGGAUGCAUUGUUCUAAAAACUGAAUUAGCAACGGCGUCCCGUCACUUUAGCGCCGUGGCUAAUGUGAACUCGAGGCACGGAGGCUUUUUGCCAUCAUCUGUUUAAAAGGCUUUUUUUCUGAAAGACAUUGGCUCAGGUUUAUGACACUGAAACACGUGUGAAAACCAAUAGCUGCUUCCAUGCAAACGCUGUAGGAUCAUGUGUCUGGAAUCAGCUUUGCAGACUUUCCAGAUCUGAAUCUGGUUGACAAAAAGGUCAAAUUUACUUUAGAUAUGAUUUAUGUUACUGAAUAUCCCUCAGCAUUAAAUAUUGUGUAUCAUUAUACUAGAUAAUAAUCUGAUAAUUUUAACAUUGUCUGAAAAAAUUGGAGUCGUGCAAAACACUGCAAGAAAGGUGUUUGUUAAGUUAUUGCUAUGAAUUUGUCAAUGUGUUGCUAUGCAGUUGUCAAAAGGUUUGUUAUGUGGUUGUCAGGGUGUUGCUGUGUGGUUGUCAAAGAGAUGCUAUGCGGUUUUCAAGGUGUUUCUAUGCUGUUGUCAGGGUGUUGCAAUGCUGUUGUCAAGGUGAUGCUGUGCAGUUGUCAGGGUGUUGCAAUGCUGUUGUCAAGGUAUUGCUGUGCGGUUGUCAGGGUGUUGCGAUUCUGUUGUCAGGGUGCUGCUCUACGGUUAUCAAGGUGUUGCUAUGUGGUUUACAAGGUUAGGGUUAGGGUUAGAGUUUAAAACCAUGUGUGGGUGUCAAGGUGUUGCUAUCCGGUUGUCAAGGUGUUGCUGUGCGGUCAUUAGGGUGUUGCAAUGCUGUUGUCAAGGUAUUGCUGUGCGGUUGUCAGGGUGUUGCGAUUCUGUUGUCAGGGUGCUGCUCUACGGUUAUCAAGGUGUUGCUAUGUGGUUAACAAGGUUAGGGUUAGGGUUUGAGUUUAAAACCAUGUGUGGGUGUCAAGGUGUUGCUAUCCGGUUGUCAAGGUGUUGCUGUACUGUUCUCAGGAUGAUACUUUUUCGGGUGUCAAGGUGUUGCUGUGCGGUUUUCAGGGUGUUGCAAUGCUGUUGUCAAGGUGUUGCUGUGCGGUUGUUAGGGUGUUGCGAUGCUGUUGUCAAGGUGUUGCGAUGCAGUUGUUAGGGUGUUGCGAUGCUGUUGUCAAGGUGUUCAAAUUGAGAAACACUGAAGACUGUCAAAGGCUGUGAGGCUGAAGGGUGGUUGUAAAGAAUUUUUGUUAUUGUACAGUGUGUCUGUAACAGGCAGUUACUGUAUAUUUUGUGUGUCCGAUGUGUCUGAUUGUGUCAUUCGUGUCUGUUGAGGGUGUGACUCUCAGAACUGUUGCGUGAGACUCACACUGUUCAGACUCACAGAUGGCUUCAGUUCUUCAUGUGAGCAUGCACAGCUGCAGACGAGCCACCCGCUGCUUCACGUCCCCAUUCCUCCGUCUGUCUUCUCCAGAACCUGAAUUACAAAUAAUUCAUUAACAAUUUCAUUCUUUAGAAAAAAACAUCUUUUUAUGCAAAUAGA
This is a long non-coding RNA of Cyprinus carpio carpio, 1523 nucleotides long. NCBI's taxonomy places the organism in Eukaryota, Metazoa, Chordata, Actinopteri, Cypriniformes, Cyprinidae. The record is from Ensembl.